This is an RNA transcript of Glycine soja, 742 nucleotides long. It is a transcript of the gene named gibberellin-regulated protein 4-like, with no coding region annotated. Lineage: Eukaryota; Viridiplantae; Streptophyta; Magnoliopsida; Fabales; Fabaceae. The record is from RefSeq and is a predicted model, not a curated record. The transcript is spliced from 4 exons.
GGUUUUCUGGUUCUGCUUCUGGCACUCCUUGGCAUUUCCAUGAUCACAACUCAGGUUAUGGCAACAGAUUCUGCUUAUCACUUGGAUGGAAGGAAUUAUGGACCUGGGAGUCUCAAGAGCUCACAGUGCCCUUCUGAAUGCACAAGAAGAUGAAGCCAGACACAGUACCACAAGCCCUGCAUGGUCUUCUGCAAACAAUGCUGCAAAAGGUGCCUUUGUGUUCCUCCUGGCUACUAUGGGAACAAGUCUGUGUGCCCCUGCUACAAUAACUGGAAGACCAAGCGUGGAGGACCCAAAUGCCCCUGAAAAUUGAAAAUAUAAGCAUAAUUUCACCUACAAUUUCAUAUAUACUACUCAAAGUGGAACUAUAAACUAUAUAUAUAUAUAUAUAUAUGGCCAUUUCUAUGUUUUGGGCAGCACCUACUACAGUUGGGUUGUCACUAGACUAAUACCAUCUUGUUCUCUACCAUGAAAUUAGUUCAAUUAUUAAUUUCAUGAAGAAACCUAUAUGUUACUCCCUUUCCUAAACAGGUAUGAGAGGGGUGUUCUACUAAUUAGUCAAUUAUCUUUGUCAUUGUACUUUUUUUAGUUUUAUAUAUAAUGAAGUUAUUUUAUAAUUUUUGUCUGAUAUAAUAUAAUGUAUUACGACAGACAUGUCAUGUAGGUAAGAGGAUCUAUAGAUCCAACCUAUGUCAGCAAAAAGAAAGAAAAAUAUGUAGAUCCAACCUUAUUUUAAUUCUUG